UCCGUAGGCGGUGUGGCAAGUCGGGAGUGAAAUCUCUGGGCUUAACCCAGAGGCUGCUUCCGAAACUGCCGUGCUAGAGUGUGAGAGAGGCGAGUGGAAUUGCGGGUGUAGCGGUGAAAUGCGUAGAUAUCCGCAGGAACAUCCGAGGCGAAAGCGGCUCGCUGGAUCACAACUGACGCUGAGGGACGAAAGCUAGGGGAGCAAACAGGAUUAGAUACCCUGGUAGUCCUAGCCCUAAACCAUCAGGACUUGGGGUUUGCCCUGUACGGGGCAAGUCCCGUAGCUAACGCGUUAAGUCCUGCGCCUGGGGAGUACGGUCGCAAGACUGAA
This 330-nucleotide ribosomal RNA is filed under the name uncultured bacterium. Its description in RNAcentral is "bacterial SSU rRNA". It matches the Rfam family "Bacterial small subunit ribosomal RNA", at positions 568 to 898 of the family's 1533-position model. The record is from RNAcentral.